CCACACACAAAUUCCAAUGGAACUAUUACUAAACAUGAUAUAGAAGAAACAACAGCAAAAUCAAGGUUGUCUGGAAUCUGCAGUAGUAGCUCAUGCACCGGAUGUACCAACAGCAACUGUUUUACAAGCUUGACUGGAAUCUGCAGCAGCAGUUGGAGCUCAAGCAGUAAUGGAAGUACCAGUAACAGCAGCAUUUUUUCAAGCUUGACUGGAAUCUGUAGCAGCACUAGGAGCUCGAGCAGUAAUGGAAGCACUGGCAGCAUCAGCGUUUUCCCAAGCUUGUCUGGAAUAUGUAGCAAUAGUA
RNAcentral lists this unclassified non-coding RNA (304 nucleotides) under Hevea brasiliensis (rubber tree). Lineage: Eukaryota; Viridiplantae; Streptophyta; Magnoliopsida; Malpighiales; Euphorbiaceae. The record is from RNAcentral.